This 119-nucleotide ribosomal RNA is filed under the name Triticum dicoccoides. Lineage: Eukaryota; Viridiplantae; Streptophyta; Magnoliopsida; Poales; Poaceae. The record is from RNAcentral.
GGAUGCGAUCAUACCAGCACUAAAGCACCGUAUCCCAUCAGAACUCCGAAGUUAAGCGUGCUUGGGCGAGACUAGUACUAGGAUGGGUGACCUCCUGGGAAGUCCUCGUGUUGCAUUUC